CCCUUAGAUGUCCUGGGCUGCACGCGCGCUACACUGACGAACUCAACGAGCUUAUCACCUUGGCAGAGAUGUCUGGGUAAUCUUUUGAAAGUUCGUCGUGCUGGGGGUAGAUGAUUGUAAUUAUUCGUCUUGAACGAGGAAUUCCUAGUAAGUGUGAGUCAUCAGCUCGCGCUGAUUACGUCCCUGCCCUUUGUACACACCGCCCGUCGCUCCUACCGAUUGAAUGGUCCGGUGAGGUUCUCGGAUUUUUUCUGUUGUUUGGUUCGCUAAACGAUUGAAGAGAGAAGUUACCCAAACCUUACCAUUUAGAGGAAGGAGAAGUCGUAACA
This 329-nucleotide ribosomal RNA is filed under the name uncultured eukaryote. Its description in RNAcentral is "partial 18S ribosomal RNA". It matches the Rfam family "Eukaryotic small subunit ribosomal RNA", at positions 1470 to 1796 of the family's 1831-position model. The record is from RNAcentral.